RNAcentral lists this long non-coding RNA (2204 nucleotides) under Piliocolobus tephrosceles (Ugandan red Colobus). Its description in RNAcentral is "lncRNA (ENSPTEG00000014809.1)". Lineage: Eukaryota; Metazoa; Chordata; Mammalia; Primates; Cercopithecidae. The record is from RNAcentral.
UUAAUAAUGGUGAAAAUGUUAAUAGUGGUGAAAAUGCACAAAUAGUCAAAUCAGGUGCGCGCAUAAUGACUUGCUUAAGCAUGGGUGCAUUAAAAACUGAUGAUGCCAUUUUUCAGAGUACAAGUAAUAACAUAAGUGAUAAAUUAAAUAAUUACAUGACAAGUAAUUGCAUGACAAGUAAUUGCAUGACAAGUAAUAGCAUGACAAGUAAUUACUUGACAAAUAAUUACUUGACAAAUAAGUACAUGAUCGAACAAUAUAAUUUUAAUACUAAAAAAAACAUCACUACUAAAAUGUUUGCUACUAAAAAUGCAAAAGAAAAAAAUAAAAAUGUAAAAGAAAAAAAAAAAAAUGCACAAGAAAAAAAAAAAAAUGCAAAAGAAGAAAAAAAAAAAAAACAAAAAAAGGAAAAAAAAAAAAAAAAAAAAAAAAAAAAAAAAAUAUAAUAAUCAAGACAUGUAUAAAUGUAAAAUAACAUAUAUAUUUAAAAAAAAAGAUGACAAUGUUGAAAAAGAUAUAAGUAUAAUAUUUCGGUCCAAUAAAAUAGAAAUAUUUAAAAAAUUAGAAGAAAAAGUAAAAAAUUUAUUAAUAAAUAAUAAAAAAGAAUAUUUAGAUAUAGAAGUUGUUUGUCAAUAUUUAAUUAAUAAAAAUAAAAAAAUAUUUACCUUACAUGUACAUAAUUUAAUACAAAAUAUUUACAAAAUUGAUAAAAAAUAUAUGCAUAAAAAAGCAUUUGAAUUAUUAAAAUUAUAUACUGAUCAUAUAAAAAAAGAAGAAUUAUUAAAAAAAAAUAGAAUUCGAUUUAUGCAAACAGGUAGUCAUAAAUUAGAAUAUGUAUUAAUAAAAAAAAUACAAACUUAUUUAAAUAUAUUACUUAUCAAAAGUUAUGAACAUAGUUUUAUAAAUUAUCAAGUAAAAACAAAUGAUUUAUUAUGUAGUAUGAUAGUGAAAGAAAAACAUAUUUAUGAAGAAAAAAUAGUAAAAAGAAAUUUAUUAAUAUUACAUAAUGCAUUGUUAACGGUAUAUAAAAAUCGUAUGUCGAAAUAUUUUCGUUUUUUUUUUAACAAUAAUAAAAUUGUUAAUCAAACAAAACAUAUACUUACCUAUGGAUUAUCACAUGUUAAUCAUAUACUUAUACAUUAUCAAAAACGAUUACAAAUGUUUGUAUUUUCAAAACUUAGAUUUAAUUAUGAAAAUACAACUUAUUUUAUUUUUAUUAUGUAUAAAAUAUAUUUAAGAAAAAUAUUUUGGGCUUAUAUCCGAUUAAGAAAUAAUAGUGUUAAUAUAAAAUUGUUUAAAGAAAAUAAUGUUUAUCGAUUAAUUAAAACUUUGACAAAAUUGUUAGAUAAUCAAAAAUAUUAUGCUUUUUUACAAAUACAAAAAUAUAUAUAUGAUAAAAAAGAAAAAAAAAAUCAAGAAAUUUGUAACAAUUUAAUGUAUGCAAAUGAUGAAUUAUCAAAUAAUUUGGAUAAAAUAGGAAUAGAAAAAGGAAUUAAUAAAUUAGAUGCUAUUUUUAAAUUUAAAAUUAAAGAAAGUAUGUUAAAAAUGUUUUAUACAUUAAAAGGACCACAUAUAAACACAACAUAUGCUCACUUAUAUAUUAAAUAUUCAAGUGUUUUCUCUUUCAUAUUAAAUAAAAUUAUACAAAGAAAAGUUAAAAAUAUAUUUUUUUAUUUCUUAUUAAAAUGUUUUCAAAAUAAACAUAAACAAAGACUUAUACAUUCUAUAAAUUGUUUAGAAAAUAUAAUUAAACAAAAAGAAAAAAAAAAUACAUUUUAUCUUUUACAACUAUUGGAUCAAUACCCAUAUUUAUUCAAAUAUAAAAACUUAACUAUAAUAGAAAUAUUUGUAGUUAGUAUAACAAAUUUUAUUAACUUUUGUAAUAAAAAAUUAUUAGUUAAUUUUAUGUUAAAAUUACAUUAUAUCAAAUAUCAAAAAAAUGUUAUGAAUACUUAUAAAUGUAUUAAUAAUAUAUAUAAAUUUAUACAUAUUAUUCAUAAAAAAAUAAAUAAAACAACAAAACCAGCAUUUAUAUUACUUAAGCAACAUACAUAUUACAAAACAAAUAAAAUUAUAACCGAAAAAAUUAAAGAAAAAAAAACACAGCUCAAAUUAAAUAAUCAUAUAUUAAAUACAGAAAAUAGUAAUUAUUAUACUCCAUUUCAUUCAUCUUCUUCUUUUUUUUUAAAAAAUAAACAUUUAUA